This is a long non-coding RNA of Triticum aestivum (bread wheat), 627 nucleotides long. RefSeq lists it as uncharacterized. The record is from RefSeq and is a predicted model, not a curated record. The transcript is spliced from 4 exons. Lineage: Eukaryota; Viridiplantae; Streptophyta; Magnoliopsida; Poales; Poaceae.
GUUCGCAAGGUCCCGUGGCGGCUUCUCGCGACCGCUCUGGGUUCUGAUCUGAUCGAUGCUGGAGGGACGACUCCCAUGGCCACCGCGCGCUGGAUUCUGGCCGACGCGACGAAUGGCCUGGCCAGCGAGAAGAUCCGGCGGCCGCGCGUGAUGCGGGUGAAUCGGGGGCCGGCCGAUCCAGCCGACGCGGUCGUUCGCCUGCGAAUUGGAAAUGGAGGGACGCCAUCGAUGAUGGCCGGCGCCUCAUCCGCUGGAUACUCAGCAACGAUGCCGCGGCCUUUAGGUUGGGUUACGAGUGCGCGGUCCAUGGUUCCGCUACGGUCCGUUGGAAGAUCGGACAUCAUUGUUUUUGUCAUUACCCUGCCACUAAUCAUCCGAAGAGAUGGAGAUGAGGUUGCUGUUUGACCAUGAUACGAAGAGUGCCUUUGGGAUUGGAGGAUAAUGACUGGGUUCAAAGCAUUUUGCUUCCCGACAAAGUAAUAGUUGUGCAACACAUUGAUUAAACAAGUGGAGAAUUACUAUUUAUUCAGAUGGCAAAGAAGCACUGAUCUGCAGUUAAAGUGAUGCCGAAAUUCUGGAACCUAAGGAAGAGAAGCAUGUUUUCACAAAAUUAUGAGAAGAUCUGCU